This is a long non-coding RNA of Humulus lupulus (European hop), 1162 nucleotides long. RefSeq lists it as uncharacterized. The transcript is spliced from 3 exons. The record is from RefSeq and is a predicted model, not a curated record. Lineage: Eukaryota; Viridiplantae; Streptophyta; Magnoliopsida; Rosales; Cannabaceae.
AUAUAUGUAUAAAUAUUAUAUAUAUGAAUAGAUUUAUAAUGCCUAUAUAUUCUGUUUUGUAAGGUUUCGUAUGAAGUUGUUUGGAGGCUUUGAUGUAUUCCAAUUAUUUGGCUUGGUGUAUUUUGAGAUUUGGGAUUCGUUGGCUUGGUGGCUGUGUGAUUUGGGAUUUAAAUUUUUGCUUGUUUAUCUUAAAAUUUUCUUGUAACUCUAGGAUAUUUUCUGGUUAGUUUCUGAUUUUAUCUUUUGGAUGUUUUUUGUCUUGCGCUGGAAAGUAGUGUAAGGAAACCAGGGCAUAUGGAUCUCUUAAACUAAUGGUUGAUGCUCUUCAAGUGUUUGAGAAAUUGAUGCAAAGAAACUACAGAAUAUGAUUUAAUGAAACUAUGAGUGAUUCUAGUUUUUGUGUGCUCAAAUUACUACUGCCUUUUGUUAUUAUUAUUGUUAGAUGAUUAAAUAUAAUAUAUAUUUAUAAUUAUAUAACUCUUUCGUGGCCUCUCUUUAUUAUAUUGAGCUUUUUCUUAGUAUAUAACAUGGUAGCUACUUGUGUGUAUAUACUGUAUAUAUAUGCUAUACUAUACAUAUGCAGGAGUGCUUAAAUGGAGAGUUUCUUCAAGUUGGUCUCAAGUUUGUUCCACUAGCUGGAUAUCACUGGUUUGAUGGAGAUGGGUAUAUAUAUUGACUUCAUUAUUCUAAAAACUUAUUUAAUGAGUAUAUAUAUUGACGUCUUCAACAAGAAGAAUACUUUGGAGCUCCCAAAUUCAUGAAGAUUGGAGACCUGAAAGGGCAUUUUGGAUUACUCGCGGUGAUCAUGCAAAUUCUGAGAGCAAAGCUCAAAGUAUUAGAUCUUUCGUAUGGAAAUGGAACAGGUAUAAUUAAGCACAACUCAACUACACAUCUGGUACUGAAAUAUCUGUCUUCAUGUGAAUGUAAUUUUAGAAAUUAACAAUUUUAUUAUUUUUAAGUGAGUUAUGUCGGCAAGGAUAGGAAUGUCCUAUGGAGGCUUUAUGAGUGAUCUUUUUCAUGCCAUAUUAGUAAUCUCUUUAAACUGUAUAUUAGUCAAAAUUUGAAACUUGUGUGCACAAAAUGUUAGUUGUUAUUCAUAUCUUGGCUUCCUUUGUAACUGUAUAACAUGAAUUUGUUGAGGAUUAUGUAAUUUUUCUUGAAA